RNAcentral lists this ribosomal RNA (405 nucleotides) under uncultured bacterium. RNAcentral's name for it is "partial 16S ribosomal RNA". It matches the Rfam family "Bacterial small subunit ribosomal RNA", at positions 28 to 526 of the family's 1533-position model. The record is from RNAcentral.
GACGAACGCUGGCGGCGUGCUUAACACAUGCAAGUCGAGCGGAGCGGCGAACGGGUGAGUAACGCGUGAGUACCUGCCCCCCUCUCUGGGCUAACAGUUGGAACCGGCUGCUAAUACCGGAUAGUGGGGGAUGACUCGCGUCCUAUCAGCUUGUUGGUGGGGUAGUGGCCUACCAAGGCGAAGACGGGUAGCCGGCCUGAGAUGGGGACCGGCCACAUUGGGCUGAGAUACGGGCCAAACGCCUACGGGGUGAAGCAGUGGGGAAUAUUGCCAAAUGGGGGAAACCCUGAUGCAGAAACGCCGCGGGCGGGAUGAAGGCCUUCGGGGUGUAAACCGCUUUCAGCCAUGACGCGGUAGUGGCAGAAGAAGCACCGGCUAACUACGUGCCAGCAGCCGCGGUAAUUC